UACGUAGGGGGCAAGCGUUGUCCGGAUUUAUUGGACGUAAAGAGCGUGUAGGCGGCCGUACAGGUCAGCUGUGAAAACUCGAGGCUCAACCUCGAGACGUCGGUUGAAACCGUACGGCUAGAGUCCGGAAGAGGAGAGUGGAAUUCCCGGUGUAGCGGUGAAAUGCGCAGAUAUCGGGAAGAACACCCGUGGCGAAGGCGGCUCUCUGGGACGGUACUGACGCUGAGACGCGAAAGCGUGGGGAGCGAACAGG
Molecule: ribosomal RNA, 253 nt
Filed under: uncultured bacterium
Lineage: Bacteria
Description: partial 16S ribosomal RNA
Rfam family: Bacterial small subunit ribosomal RNA
Source: RNAcentral